UUAUCAAAAACAUGUCUUUUUGAAUUUAAUAUAAAGUCUAAUCUGCCCACUGAUAUUAUAAUAUAUUAAAGGGCUGCAGUAUAUUGACUGUACAAAGGUAGCAUAAUCAUUAGUCAUUUAAUUGAUGACUUGUAUGAAAGAUUGGAUGAAAUAUAAGCUGUCUCUUUAUUAUUUUAUAGAAUUUAAUUUUUUAAUUAAAAAGUUAAAAUAAAUUAAAAAGACGAGAAGACCCUAUAGAGUUUUAUAUUUAAAGUAAUUGAGAUUAUUUAUAAAGUUUUUAAUUAAAAUUAUUUUAAUUAUUUUGUUGGGGUGACAAAAAAAUAUAAAAAACUUUUUUUAUUAUUUAACAUAAAUAAGUGAGUAUAUGAUCCAAUAUUAUUGAUUAUAAGAAAAAAUUACCUUAGGGAUAACAGCGUAAUUUUUUUUUUUAGUUCGAAUAAAAAAAAGAGUUUGCGACCUCGAUGUUGGAUUAAGAUAAAAUUUAAAUGUAG
Molecule: ribosomal RNA, 491 nt
Filed under: Spodoptera frugiperda (fall armyworm)
Lineage: Eukaryota; Metazoa; Arthropoda; Insecta; Lepidoptera; Noctuidae
Description: partial 16S ribosomal RNA
Source: RNAcentral